UUCAGCAUUCAGCCAAGGACAAGAAGAUGGUGACGGUGGCGAGGAGGGUGGGGACGACGGAGGAAGAGUCGUCAGAGGGUGUGGUGUGAAGGUGGGUGACGUAGCUGAAAAGGAGGUGGUGGAUGGCGUAGGGGAAGUGGAGAAGUGCUGGAUGAGGGAAGAAAAAAUGACCCAGUGUCAGAAAAAAAUAAAUAAAAAGGGUGGCAUUCUCCGUUAGCCAGGUCAGCGAAAAGAUAACUGUGUUAAUUUUAAAGCACUAAAAUGUACCUUACUUUGAAAGAGGGACUGAAACCAAAACCACUUGAUAGUAUAAGGACUAAAAACAUAUUUAACCCUUUUUUAAUUAAGGACCAACUAGAUGCUAAUUUUAAACCAAGGACCUAAUUGACACAACCGAACAAAACUAGGGAC
This 411-nucleotide long non-coding RNA is filed under the name Vigna radiata. Its description in RNAcentral is "long non-coding RNA (VRAD_LNC006614)". Lineage: Eukaryota; Viridiplantae; Streptophyta; Magnoliopsida; Fabales; Fabaceae. The record is from RNAcentral.